This 977-nucleotide long non-coding RNA is filed under the name Monodelphis domestica (gray short-tailed opossum). Its description in RNAcentral is "lncRNA (ENSMODG00000042447.1)". The record is from RNAcentral. Lineage: Eukaryota; Metazoa; Chordata; Mammalia; Didelphimorphia; Didelphidae.
UCCAUGAAACCUUUCUUGAUCUCCCUAAUGGACUGCCAUCUUUCCUUCCUCUCCCCAUCAGGGCUUUGAAAUCUGAAUCUAUAAGCCCAAGCAAUUUGGCUGAGUUCAGAUUACAUCAACAGACUUUGGUUGGGAUUGGCCUAAACAAUGAAGUUACUGGGCAUUAUCUUGUCAUUUGUGGGGUCUCAAAUAUUGAGUUUGACUGAAUUAUUCAAUUUUGGCAUUGUCUAGUCACAGCUGGAUGGGUGCUGGCAAGAACUGAGAGGUUGGAGAUUGGACUGUGUGUGAAUUGGGCAGAUGGGGGCCUUAGUUGUAUGAGAGGACCAAGUGUAUUUAGUCUUUGUGCCAUAUUGGAGUUUCCAGGCUGAAUGAAUGUGCUUGGUGGAAGCCACAGGUACUCCUGGAUAUGUUGCAGAUCCAUCACCUGGUGGCUUCACUGUCCCAUUGACAGGCUGUCAUCUUCAUCAACUCUUCAUCUUUUGGGUCCAUCAUUGUAUCAGCAUUAGCAUGUUGGUAGUUAAGUUGAACAUGACUCCUAAAGAAACACGUGUCAGUAGAACAGCCUCCCCAGGAACAGGGUCUCAGGUCCAGUCAGCACAUUCUUCACUAGCCUCCACUUUUUAGAAUGAAGAACUCCCAGUAGAACUCGAUCUCAUAGGUGGUUCCACUCCAAGUGAAAAUUCCAAGUUGAACUGCACCCAAAACAGUUGUCACUCCCUUUGAAAGGCACUUUCUUUUGUGUCACUUCCCCUAAUUUUUACUUCUACCAAUCACAGUUGACACUUUUGUUUUUAGGACUGACAUGGGGCAGUCAGUUGAUUUUGAUUGGUCACCUACUAUUUCACACAUGGGUCACAGACCUCCCACUUAAUGUGUGAAAUGGGCUGUUUACACCUUUGAUGAUUACAUAUAAAAAAUGGGCAGAUCUUCCCACUACUGUAAAUAGGGUGUUUACAUUUUUGAUCAAAUCUAAAAAA